UGUCUAGUUAGCAGUCUAUACUGUGAAACUGCGAACGGCUCAUUAUAUCGGUUAAAAUCCAUUCGAUGGUACCUUACUACAUGGAUAACUGUGGUAAUUCUAGAGCUAAUACAUGCUGAAAAGGCCCUUUACGGGGUCGUAUUUAUUAGAUUAAAGACCGAGGCUUCGGCCUUUUGGUGAAUCAUGAUAACUGCUCGAAGCGUAUGGCCUUGCGCCGACGCUACUUCGUUCGAUUUUCCGCCCUAUCAGCUUGUCGGUUGUGUAGUGGACAACGGAGGCUACUACGGGUAACGGGGAAUUAGGGUUCGAUUCCGGAGAGAGGGCCUGAGAAACGGCCCUCAUAACUAAGGUUAGCAGCAGGCGCGCAAAUUAUCCACUCUCAAUUCGAGGAGAUAGUGACAAUAAAUAACAAUAGAGGGCUCUUUUGGGUCUUCUAAUUGGAAUGAGUACAAUCUAAAUCCCUUAACGAGGAUCAAUUGGAGGGCAAGUCUGGUGCCAGCAGCCGCGGUAAUUCCAGCUCCAAUAGCGUAUAUUAAAAUUGUUGACGUUAAAAAGCUCGUAGUCGACUUUCGGCCUCAGUUGACCGGUCCGCUCAAUGAGUGUGUACUGGACUCGAUUGGGGCUUUACCUCCUGGUGAACUUGCAUGGACUUUAUUGGCUGUGUAAGGGAACCCGGAACUUUACUUUGAAUAAAUCAGAGUGCUCAAAGCAGGCAUGUUUGCCCGAAUGUUACAGCAUGGAAUAAUAGAAUAGGAUGUGUGCCUCUAUUGGUCUUUUAGAGGCACCUUAAUGAGAAAUAGGGGCGGCUCGGGGGGCAUUUGUAUUCAAUUGCUAGAGGUGAAAUUCUUGGAUUUAUUGAAGACAAACUACUGCGAAAGCAUUUGCCAAGGACGCUUUCAUUGAUCAAGAACGAAGGUCGGGGGAUCGAAAACGAUUAGAUAGCCGUUGUAGUCUCGACAGUAAACUAUGCCAACCGGCGAUGGGUGGGGGUUUUUCUAAUGACCCCAUCUGCAGCCACAGAGAAAUCUUGAGUGCGGUUCGUGGGGGAGUACGGUCACAAGACUGAAACUUAAAGGAAUUGUCGGAAGGGCACCACCAGGAGUGGAGCCUGCGGCUUAAUUUGACUCAACACGGGGAAACUCACCAGGUCCAGACACAAAUAGGAUUGACAGAUUGAUAGCUCUUUCUUGAUCUUGUGGUUGGUGGUGCAUGGCCGUUCUUAGUUGGUGGAGUGAUUUGUCUGGUUAAUUCCGAUAACGAACGAGACCUUAACCUGCUAAAUAGCCCGGCCGACUUUGGUUGGUCGCUGGCUUCUUAGAGGGACUAUCGACGUUUAGUCGAUGGAAGUUUGAGGCAAUAACAGGUCUGUGAUGCCCUUAGAUGUUCUGGUCCGCACGCGCGCUACCCUGACAGAGCCAGCGAGUUCUUUCCUUGGCUGAAAAGCCUGGGUAAUCUUGUGACACUCUGUCGUGAUGGGGAUAGAGCAUUGCAAUUAUUGCUCUUCAACGAGGAAUUCCUAGUAAGCGUGAGUCAUCAGCUCGCGUUGAUUCCGCCCCUGCCCUUUG
Molecule: ribosomal RNA, 1565 nt
Filed under: Chionosphaera cuniculicola
Lineage: Eukaryota; Fungi; Basidiomycota; Agaricostilbomycetes; Agaricostilbales; Chionosphaeraceae
Description: SSU rRNA
Rfam family: Eukaryotic small subunit ribosomal RNA
Source: RNAcentral